Long non-coding RNA from Peromyscus eremicus (cactus mouse), 434 nucleotides. RefSeq lists it as uncharacterized. The record is from RefSeq and is a predicted model, not a curated record. NCBI's taxonomy places the organism in Eukaryota, Metazoa, Chordata, Mammalia, Rodentia, Cricetidae. The transcript is spliced from 2 exons.
CAGGCAGGGGACAUGGCUCAGUGGGUGAAGACACGUGCUUCCACACCUGAUGACCUGAGUUCAAUCCCGGAGGACCUACCUGGUGGAAGGAGAGAACCGACUUCCACAAGGUGUCUUCUGACCUCCACAUUGGUGCUUUGCACCCCUCCCAAUAACUAAAAAUGUGAGCUCAUGAUCCAGGUAGGGUGUACCAGAAAAUGUGCACACAAAGAUGGGCAGCCGGAAAACACAUCAGGGCACACGAGAUGGCUCGCCUGUAAAGGCCCUGAUACCAAGGCUCACUGCCUGAGUUCGAUCCCUGGGAUCCAUGGUUGGGGACAGCUGACUCCUGCAAGUUGUCCUCUGACCUCCACAUGAAUGCCGUAGCGUAUGAGUGCCCACACACACUCAUAAAUAGAAAAAAUAAAUGUAAUAAAAAAAGAGAAAACAUGAAA